This 205-nucleotide ribosomal RNA is filed under the name Klebsiella oxytoca. RNAcentral describes it as "partial 23S ribosomal RNA". It matches the Rfam family "Bacterial large subunit ribosomal RNA", at positions 1443 to 1648 of the family's 2925-position model. The record is from RNAcentral. Lineage: Bacteria; Pseudomonadati; Pseudomonadota; Gammaproteobacteria; Enterobacterales; Enterobacteriaceae.
CUUGGUGUUACUGCGAAGGGGGGACGGAGAAGGCUAUGUUGGCCGGGCGACGGUUGUCCCGGUUUAAGCAUGUAGGCGGAUGUUCCAGGUAAAUCCGGAACGUCACUAACGCUGAGGUGUGAUGACGAGGCACUACGGUGCUGAAGUGACAAAUGCCCUGCUUCCAGGAAAAGCCUCUAAGCAUCAGGUAACAUCAAAUCGUACC